UUAUGGACGCUCCCUAUGGAAAUUAGAACAAAACUGUAAGCCAACUACUAAUAUUUCUUAUUAACUGGGAGAUCUUCCAAGGUCCAUCAUUAUUUACGGGUGACCACAUUUCAAAAUUGCGGGGGGGGCGUAUUCCAAAAUAACCAUUCAUUUUCACAUCAAGGUCUAGGGUCAUAAACAUCGAUUUUUUUGGGUACCCAUUUUCACGCAUUGUUUUUUAUUGAGGCUUCGAAAAUUAGAAUCAUUUUCAAAUCUAACACUUGGAUUUGCCUAAAAUUUUAAAAUUACUUAGUCCGCGUCAAUACAUACAAGGUUUCUUGAGGCAGUUUGACCGAUGGCAGGAAUUAGUCAAAAUAUUUUAGAUCAAAUUCCAAAAUUUUUACGAUUCAUCACUUCGAUGGAAAUGGAGUGUACUUACUCCGCUCUGUACGAAUCACUAAUUUUUCAGCUUUUACCUCACUUACAUAUUUUGACAAAUUCCAACCAUAGCCCAAACUGAAUGAAAAAAUGUAGGUUAUGCUGGCUUGGACAACAUGCAUGUGUACUUAUGUAGGUACAUACAUAUGUUUGUAAUUAUAACAUCUAACAAGGGACACUCACGACCUGUUGCUUGAGUCAAGGUUACCCACCAUGGUUUUAGAAUCUACCUGUACCACUCAUGUUUCGAGCAUACAAUUAAUUUUGUUGCGAUAAAUUCUCAUUUUUAUGCAUACCAGUCUCACUGGUCUGAAAUUUUGUAAAUAUGGAGAAAGAUACAUGAUGAAAAAAUGGUCGACAAAUUAUAUUGAAAUUCAGAAGCGAACGUUAGUCAUUACAGAUAGAGUGAGACCCAUGCUCACCCUAUGACUAAUUUUGUUACAUACUGUAGCUACCAAUGGAUUCUACUUUACUCGUUCCGCCCUUGGUACCGGAAGUUCCCAGUGGACAUAUGGGUUGCACGCUUACAAUAGGGACUACCCAAGAUUAUUUGAAUACGGACCAAGCCCACACUACUAUCGCAAUUCGUUCUGGAAGUUGGAUGCAGUUCCGGGAACUCAGUUUUACACAAUUUAUCAAACUUCCCCGGCAAAGUCUGGCAACGUUAGAUACACCGGAGUAACCAAUGAUAUCGGAGUCGAUCUAGAUAUUGUAACACCGAACAGUACUGUUCCAGAGCAACAAUGGGGAAUUGUCAGGUGUCCCGUCCACAAAUUAUCUGGUGCAGUUGUAUAAUGUCCACCCCAAAAUGAUUACGCAAAAUGAUUGUUAACUAAUUCCUAACUAUUUUAAACAACUGUCAAAUUUAAAGAAAUUCGAAGUAAUAAAUGACGA
Long non-coding RNA from Folsomia candida, 1311 nucleotides. RefSeq lists it as uncharacterized. NCBI's taxonomy places the organism in Eukaryota, Metazoa, Arthropoda, Collembola, Entomobryomorpha, Isotomidae. The record is from RefSeq and is a predicted model, not a curated record. The transcript has 3 exons.